This 206-nucleotide ribosomal RNA is filed under the name uncultured bacterium. RNAcentral's name for it is "partial 16S ribosomal RNA". It matches the Rfam family "Bacterial small subunit ribosomal RNA", at positions 568 to 774 of the family's 1533-position model. The record is from RNAcentral.
UGCGUAGGUGGUUUCUUAAGUCAGAGGUGAAAGGCUACGGCUCAACCGUAGUAAGCCUUUGAAACUGGGAAACUUGAGUGCAGGAGAGGAGAGUGGAAUUCCUAGUGUAGCGGUGAAAUGCGUAGAUAUUAGGAGGAACACCAGUUGCGAAGGCGGCUCUCUGGACUGUAGCUGACACUGAGGCACGAAAGCGUGGGGAGCAAACA